RNAcentral lists this ribosomal RNA (459 nucleotides) under uncultured bacterium. Its description in RNAcentral is "partial 16S ribosomal RNA". It matches the Rfam family "Bacterial small subunit ribosomal RNA", at positions 338 to 795 of the family's 1533-position model. The record is from RNAcentral.
CCUACGGGCGGCAGCAGUGAGGAAUAUUGGUCAAUGGGAGAGAUCCUGAACCAGCCAAGCCGCGUGAGGGAAGAAGGCCCUAUGGGUUGUAAACCUCUUUUGUCGGAGAACAAAACCCGGGACGUGUCCCGGACUGCGUGUAUCCGAAGAAAAAGCAUCGGCUAACUCCGUGCCAGCAGCCGCGGUAAUACGGAGGAUGCGAGCGUUAUCCGGAUUUAGUGGGUUUAAAGGUUGCGUAGGCGGUCCGUUAAGUCAGCGGUAAAAGCGCGGGGCUAAACCCCGUCGAGCCGUUGAAACUGGCAGUCUUGAGUUGGCGAGAAGUACGCGGAAUGCGCGGUGUAGCGGUGAAAUGCAUAGAUAUCGCGCAGAACUCCGAUUGCGAAGGCAGCGUACCGGCGCCAGACUGACGCUGAGGCACGAAAGCGUGGGGAUCGAACAGGAUUAGAUACCCUGGUAGUC